Psammomys obesus (fat sand rat) is the source of this 1291-nucleotide long non-coding RNA. RefSeq lists it as uncharacterized. The transcript has 4 exons. NCBI's taxonomy places the organism in Eukaryota, Metazoa, Chordata, Mammalia, Rodentia, Muridae. The record is from RefSeq and is a predicted model, not a curated record.
CUGUCCGCGGGCCGCCCUCGGUGCAGCCGUCCCGAGUCCUGACGCGGGCGGUGGGGUCCUCGCGCCCGCGCGGCCUCUGACCGGAGCCACUGGGUCGCAGGGCCGCGCCGGGUCCGCCCUGGGCAGGCUGAGGUGUGCCGGGCGGCGCGGCGUCCUGACGGGCGGGGCGGCCCGGAGCUGCGGAGCCGGGUGGACAGGUGGGCGUGGACAGCGCGACCGGCGGAGCUGGCCCGCCAUCCUGCCGCGGCCCUGACCCCCGGGGUGCGCUGGCUGUUGGGGUCAAAUCCGAGCUGACCUUUCUCCCGAGGAAAGAUAAAUUAUUAUGGUUGUGUGUGAGCGUCAGUGCAAAUGUUUUCCGAGUCCUCCUCCGGCUCCGGGUGCUGUUUGAAUCCCCCGCAUUCCUCAGCCCUGGGCAGGGAGCGGCCGCGGCCUUUGUGUCUCCGGGGAGCGCACGCCACCUCGGAAGAGACAGCGAACCAGAGUUAAAGAACAGGAGAGACAUUAGCGUCACACUUCCGCUCAGAUGAGCCUGUCUCCACUCCAACACUGACCAUGCAUGUUGUAAGAGGAACAACACUGGCCAACAGCCACAGUUCUCAGAGUCCCCAGCGCCCGACCAGUCUCCAACUCUGAGCCAAGCUGGGAUCACAGCCAAGCCAGCCUUUCCUCUGCUGUCACUUAUCUACUGACUUUUCUGUGAAUGCUUGAUUUAAGAGGCUCAUCUCUUUGACCCUGGUAUGUUUUCACUCCUGCACUUCUCCAGCUUCAUGCCUCCACAGUUACCAGAUGAAAUGCUGACCUCCUCUGUCGUUCACAGCUUCAACUUUGCACUGCUGAGCUCAGAGAAUUUCACUUUCCACCCCGUAAAAUACGCAGAGCCACAUGACUUGUUCUGGUCAAUGAGCCAUGAAGAACCAGUGUGUCACUUCUGGUGUCCUGCCCUUUCUAACCUUGCUACAGUGACUGGAAAAAGAGGCAAGAAGGAUUGGAGAUGUCACAACGCCCAGGAACGAGGGCUCUGCCACUGCCACAGGACAAUGGCUCUGGAGGGCCAAUGAGUCCCCACAGUGAUAUUUACAGAAAAUGAUUUUGUUUUUAUAAUAAGCCCAGAAUUGAGAUUUGGGAUUCCUUCUUGAAGCAAGAUAAUGUGGCCCAUCUAGACCCAAAGAUCUCCAUGGACCCAGCGGAAGUGCCCUCUGCCACUCAGGAGCCCCCACCUGCCCCUCCUACAGAAACCCAGAGCUUUUUGUCUCUUUUUCUUAGAAAUUGUAUCUCAGAAUGAUGGAACCAA